AGGGCCGUAUCCACGCGGAAUGGCACCAGGAUGUGUUUUGUUGUUGUCAGUGAAAAAAUAUUUGAAUCUGCUCUGAGCCGAUGAGGACCGAGACAGAGGA
This is a regulatory RNA element of Aneurinibacillus sp. XH2, 100 nucleotides long. It matches the Rfam family "pan motif". Lineage: Bacteria; Bacillati; Bacillota; Bacilli; Caryophanales; Paenibacillaceae. The record is from Rfam.